Molecule: small nucleolar RNA, 74 nt
Filed under: Myotis lucifugus (little brown bat)
Lineage: Eukaryota; Metazoa; Chordata; Mammalia; Chiroptera; Vespertilionidae
Description: Small nucleolar RNA SNORD96 family (ENSMLUG00000026082.1)
Source: RNAcentral
AUCCUGGUGAUGACAGACGACAUGGUCUGCCAACCCGUGUGGGAGUGAGGACAUGUCCUGCAAUUCUGAAGGGA